Triticum aestivum (bread wheat) is the source of this 2255-nucleotide long non-coding RNA. RefSeq lists it as uncharacterized. The transcript has 3 exons. NCBI's taxonomy places the organism in Eukaryota, Viridiplantae, Streptophyta, Magnoliopsida, Poales, Poaceae. The record is from RefSeq and is a predicted model, not a curated record.
CGCACAUCACGCCGCUAAACGCAUUUGAACCCAACAAAUUAUCCACUGCCCCAAUGGCGCCCCUGCCUUUCUUCCCCACCGCUAUGCUCCCCUCUCCCCACGGACGCCUCCCAGCCUCUGCCGCCGCCCCGCGCGACGGACGCCAUCCCUCCCCUAUUUCCCUCUUCACCUCCACGGCCACGCCGCGUCGCCGCCCGAGCCCCACUACGGUCGCUAUGAUCCGCCGCGCCGCCCCACACCCGAAGCUGCAGUCGAGAUGCAUCUGAGCGAUAACGAGGGGAUCGAGGGCGUGCGGUUCGCGGUGACUGGCGGGCAGGGCUUCGUCGGCGCCGCGCUAUGCCUAGAGUUGAUCCGCCGCGGCGCCCUGGAGGUCUGCUCCCUCGACGGCUCGACCUGCGCGAUUCCUCCUCUUGGUCCCAGCAGCUCCUCGACGCCAGUGUCCGCUUCUUCCAAGGUUCUCUCCCUCACUCUCUUUUGCUUAAAUUACUGUGGGUUUUUUCUUAUGUCGCCAUGAGUGGGCGUGAGACUUAAAUGAAGCGUCGCAGGGAAGAAGGUAAUUUGUUUUUCUGUCCAAUGCAUUGAAGCUAUAAUGUACGUGCUUAGUAAAUUGUUUAGGGCGGUGUGGGACUUAUAAUGCCUGCCAAGUGCCAACUUAGUGAAUUGAUAAACCAGGAAUUUUGUGUUUUUUACUUCACUUGAUUUUGCACAAUUCAGUUAUGUGUCCACUGAAUGGAUUUGACAUGACAUUUCCUGCAGGCAAUGAGGGAAGUAGAUGGGCAUGGCUGAUCUGUUCGUCAUGCAGUUAUGUGCUAUCUUAUUCCUUGAUACUGAGUGUGAGCCCAUGCAUGUGCAAGCUAUAUGUACUCUUAAGCUAUUAGUGUUCUCUAACUUAUUUCCUACUAUUCCUGUAUGGUACCACUUUUUCCCUAGCAAGGAUAUGUGAGCCUAUUAACCUUAUGUUGUCUGUCAAUGUCAGAUUUAGAACCCAGCAAAGAAAUAUGGCAGAAAUUUGCAUAUUAACCUUUCUUGUGCAGGUUUGAGAUAUAAAUGUCACACAGAUGCUUCUUUGCCAUGAGUGUGUAAACUUAAUGAGGCAACAUGGUCUUCGGCACAAGAAAUACCCAUGGACGUGAGUGCGGGCUGCCGCUCCGGCCUCCACUCCUCUGCUUGACCACCGCUGCCACCACGUUGAGGCCCUCGCCACCAAGCGGCAUGCUUUCCCGUGAGCUAGCUUCUUCAACACAUGUUUCUCUGAAUUUCUACAAGCUAAAUUAGUACAUGCUUCUCUGAACGUUAGCCUGUAUUGGAUUCUUGUAUGUUAUGAUUUGCCCAAUCUGCUCUUCCUACACCCAUGGAUAGGGACAAAGGGCAGGUACACAAAUAGCCAAGAACACAAGGAGACGUGCAGGUCUGCGUUUCUGAGUUAUAUCUCUUUUAGCACCAGCAAUUAAAUGGUAUGUAGCUGGUCAGGCGUGCUUGCCUAAAAUGUACUUUAGUAGUUGCUAGAUCCAUGCUAGCUUCUAUGUUGUUCUUGCAGCCUCAGCUAGCUAAUUUUAUUUAAAGCAAAUGUUGUUCUAUCCUUCCAAUUACUGUUAUUCAGUUCUUCUUUUCUUUUUUCUGUUGUCAUUCACAGUACAAAUGUUAUGAGAAUUUCAUGAAUUUUGUCAUAUCUUUCUCCCAGUUACCUUAAUUUUGUAAAUUGUGGUCUAAUUCAAUUUUGAGUUUGUUUUCAGAAAAGCCUACUUUAAAGCUGUGUAAAUCCAUUAUUUCCUUUGAGUUUGCCGUGGAGGUGAGUUGGGAACCUUUUUUAUACUUGGUGGAUGCACUGAUGUAGUGACGGAGACUUGCCUGAAUGUUGUUUUCCUCCGCGCGAAGUGCUUACAAUUCUCAAAGGCGUCAACAAGUCCAGGAGGAGAUUGACAAGUUGGUUUGGUACCAUCAGCCGAUUGGCCAGUUGGAAAACCAGCGGGGAAAACAUGUACUGAAUUCUUGUUGUAAAGAGCGAAGGCAUGGUUUGGUUUGCAUGACAUUAUCUUCAAUUGGCUGGAGAUAUAUAAAUGUUGAUACUUGAUUUUCUCACCUGGCAUUUUAUCACUUCUGUGAAAGACACUCCAUUUUCUCAUAGUAAUAGUUCGUUAUUAUUGUUGAUACAUAAAUGGAUCUUUAUUGAAUGGUACUUGUAUGUGUGUAUGGAGAAUGGUGAUUAACCUUUUAAAUAAUCUAUUAUCCAACAAGGUGAUUCUAAUUUCUGAUUA